RNAcentral lists this ribosomal RNA (467 nucleotides) under uncultured bacterium. Its description in RNAcentral is "partial 16S ribosomal RNA". It matches the Rfam family "Bacterial small subunit ribosomal RNA", at positions 28 to 506 of the family's 1533-position model. The record is from RNAcentral.
GACGAACGCUGGCGGCGUGCUUAACACAUGCAAGUCGAACGGAAAGGCCCUGCUUUUGUGGGGUGCUCGAGUGGCGAACGGGUGAGUAACACGCGAGUAACCUGCCCUUGACUUUGGGAUAACUUCAGGAAACUGGGGCUAAUACCGGAUAGGAGCUCCUGCUGCAUGGUGGGGGUUGGAAAGUUUCGGCGGUUGGGGAUGGACUCGCGGCUUAUCAGCUUGUUGGUGGGGUAGUGGCUUACCAAGGCUUUGACGGGUAGCCGGCCUGAGAGGGUGACCGGCCACAUUGGGACUGAGAUACGGCCCAGACUCCUACGGGAGGCAGCAGUGGGGAAUAUUGCACAAUGGGCGGACGCCUGAUGCAGCAACGCCGCGUGCGGGAUGACGGCCUUCGGGUUGUAAACCGCUUUCGCCUGUGGCGAAGCGUGAGUGACGGUAAUGGGUAAAGAAGCACCGGCUAACUACGU